UUGGCAUUCUCUGAACUCUCUCCCUCAGUGGCCCUUUCAUGACUUUAGGUUGAAGGAGGAGCCUUUAAGGUGUGAGGGUUCAGAAAUUGCCAG
RNAcentral lists this microRNA precursor (93 nucleotides) under Olea europaea subsp. europaea. Lineage: Eukaryota; Viridiplantae; Streptophyta; Magnoliopsida; Lamiales; Oleaceae. The record is from RNAcentral.